This 774-nucleotide ribosomal RNA is filed under the name uncultured Neocallimastigales. Its description in RNAcentral is "partial large subunit ribosomal RNA". It matches the Rfam family "Eukaryotic large subunit ribosomal RNA", at positions 23 to 643 of the family's 3401-position model. The record is from RNAcentral. Lineage: Eukaryota; Fungi; Neocallimastigomycota; Neocallimastigomycetes; Neocallimastigales.
GAGACUCUGUGCGCGUGCAUAUCAAUAAGCGGAGGAAAAGAAACUAACAAGGAUUCCCUUAGUAACGGCGAGUGAAGCGGGAAGAGCUCAAAUUUGAAAUCUUCAAGGCUCUACCUUGACGAAUUGUAGUUUAUAGAAGUGUUUUCUGUUAGUAGAGUGGCAAAAGUUCUUUGGAAUAGGACAUCAUAGAGGGUGAGAAUCCCGUAUUUGGUCAUUCUUUCUAGCUUUGUGAUACACUUUCAACGAGUCGGAUUGUUUGGGAAUGCAGUCCAAAAUGGGUGGUAUAUUUCAUCUAAAGCUAAAUAUUGGCGAGAGACCGAUAGCGAACAAGUACCGUGAGGGAAAGAUGAAAAGAACUUUGAAAAGAGAGUUAAACAGUACGUGAAAUUGUCAAAAGGGAAGCGUUUGACACCAGUGUUGUUUUUCCGAAAAUCAAUUACGAAUGUUUUGUUUUUAAGAAGUUAUGACUUCAUCGGCUUGCUUCUUUCUUUACGAAACUUUCUUAAUGCACUUUUCGGUUAACAAGUCAACAUCAAUUUCUUUUGUUGUAAAAGGGUAUGAGGAAGGUGGCUUUACUUUCGGAGUAAAGUGUUUAUAGCCUUGUAACUCUGCAAUCGGAGAGAUUGAGGUCUGCAGCGUAGAUCCUUCGGGGUUAGAUACAUUUGUGCUAAGUUAUAGCUUUUCAUAGACAACUUGUUGACUAUGUUAGUCUUGUAGAUUACUCGCAUAUGCUAUUUUACCUACGCUUAGGAUGUUGAAGAUGUAGCACAUCAU